UCCAGACUCCUACGGGAGGCAGCAGUGGGGAAUAUUGCACAAUGGGCGCAAGCCUGAUGCAGCCAUGCCGCGUGUAUGAAGAAGGCCUUCGGGUUGUAAAGUACUUUCAGCGGGGAGGAAGGUGUUGAGGUUAAUAACCUCAGCAAUUGACGUUACCCGCAGAAGAAGCACCGGCUAACUCCGUGCCAGCAGCCGCGGUAAUACGGAGGGUGCAAGCGUUAAUCGGAAUUACUGGGCGUAAAGCGCACGCAGGCGGUUUGUUAAGUCAGAUGUGAAAUCCCCGGGCUCAACCUGGGAACUGCAUUCGAAACUGGCAGGCUGGAGUCUUGUAGAGGGGGGUAGAAUUCCAGGUGUAGCGGUGAAAUGCGUAGAGAUCUGGAGGAAUACCGGUGGCGAAGGCGGCCCCCUGGACAAAGGCUGACGCUCAGGUGCGAAAGCGUGGGGAGCAAACAGGAUUAGAUACCCUAGUAGA
RNAcentral lists this ribosomal RNA (472 nucleotides) under uncultured bacterium. Its description in RNAcentral is "bacterial SSU rRNA". It matches the Rfam family "Bacterial small subunit ribosomal RNA", at positions 330 to 794 of the family's 1533-position model. The record is from RNAcentral.